AUGACACAGCUCGUCAUUGCUUGUGUAGCAUCUGACAGAGCAGGUGUCCCGCUUGGUGUUCUCCCAACACAGCAGAAGCUGUUCCAUACAGAUGGGACCAGGAUAACCCAGCCAAGUGUCCCCAGUCAUGAAGGCUGCCAGGGGUAGAUUGCACCCUGGUUGGAAGGAACUCACCCAGCACUGGUGAUAACAGUACUCCAUAUCCAGAACAGAGGGGUUGAUAACGGGUGACAGGCAUCAAGAUGGAUGAGAACACGCUUGCCUAUCACACUAAGCUUCACCAGUGGUAUGAGCUCCACAGACUCAACCGUAGCGGAGACAUGGCCAGUCUCAAGCUCCCAGAAGAUGGAGCUCAUCUCACUCCGCAAAAGGCUGUUGAAAUUGACCUGUGGAGAAAGGAGGUCAAUAAAAUCUUCGUAAAACCGAAGAAAAUCGAGAAGAAAUCUGAAUUCUGGAGAUGUCAUAUGAGCUCCGACCUCGGCUACUAAAUAUUACAAUAACUCCGACCCACGUCGGGUCAAAUCGGCCAGAUUCUUCUCCAACCGGAACAAAACAGGAGCAGUUGACAUCAAUGCUUUGCCAUCUCACUUGGCUGAAAUGUCCAUCCAUUACAACCGUGAACGAAGGGGUGUUUACACACCAGGGUUCUCAGCCGAAGACUUGCUGGUUAAGGGUAGAAAGCAAGAGCUUCACCUACCGCAGUUUCUCCGAGCAAUCCGAGGUCAAGGGUCAGAUGAAGGGACAAGUCAAAGAGGAGGCACCCAUGUUUCCAUCCCCAAUCCUGUCCGUGACUGUGAAGUUACAACCAACAAUGAGUCAGGUGUAUGCACAGAAACAGCCGACGAGGCCCCAGAGGGCCGAAAAGCUAUUGUCUGUGAUCGCUCUCAAUCAAACAACCUCCUGAAUGUCAUGUCUAUCGAUGACUGUAAAAUGGGUCUCAGAUACCGACCACAACGAGUGAUUAGCUCUCAUGAGUUGGAGAGAUGUGAUGAUUCAACAAACGGUGACAGUAACAUAGAUGAAAAUGGGAAUGCUCAUCCCUUACGAAUUAGCCAAGGGACUGGAUCAGGAAUGACACCAGUCUCCCAAACAAGAAUUAACUCAUUACUUUCUGCUCAGAGAAUAAAACACAAGCACUUGGUGAUAAAUGGCAACAAUGUGGCUCCAGAACGACCUCAGUCGGCCAUCUUGGCUCGAGCCUUUGACACUAUCCUACAAGAAAACUCCAUGCUAUCAGCCCCACUGCACCCAAAGGAGGUUCGUUUCUUUGCUGGCAGCAAGGACAUGGGGUACCCCGCCAAUGGUAAGCACAUUUAUCAAAGACUAAACUCAACACUUAAGAACAAAAUGAACAAUGUGGUGAAGGCACGGUGUGAUGGCUUAAGGCGAAAGGACUCAAUAAGCGCUCGUGUGCAAUACAAUGGAACAGACAGCCUUAAGUUCAGUAAAAGGUCAACAGCCACAGAAUCUCUUGUCUCUGAUGAUGCUAAGCAGCUGUAACCGAACUUGUGUGAAAUGAGUCGAGGUUGAGGUCACAAGGAUCUCCAAGGUCACGGGGAUGACAGAAUCCUUAGACUCCGAUGAUGCCGAACAGCUGUAACAAAACCUUUGACAUGUGUUUCGUUCUUGAGGUCAAAGAGGAUGAAAGAAUCAUUCGAGUCUGAUAAUGCCGAACAGCUGUAACAAAACCUUUGACAUGUGUUUCAUUCUUGAGGUCAAAGAGGAUGAAAGAAUCAUUCGAGUCUGAUAAUGCCAAACAGCUGUAACACAACCUUUGACAUGUGUUUCAUUCUGAAGGUCAAAGAGGAUGAAAGAAUCAUUCGAGUCUGAUAAUGCCGAAAAGCUGUCACAGAACCUUUGUUUGAAAAGUGUUGUGUUCUCCCAGGUAACGAGGAUGAGAUAACCUUUCAACUCCCAUGACCCCGAACAGCUGUAACACAACGUUUGCUUGAUAUGUGUUUUCUGAGGUCACGAAUAUGACAGAAUCCUUCAACUCAGAAGAUACCAAACAGCUGGAACUGAACCUUUGUUAGAAAUGUGUUGAUUGUUUUAAUAUUGGAAGAACAAUCCUACCAUUAUCUUUGAAAUGUGUUGCAUUCUCUGACAUUGCAAAGACAACAGAACCCUUCGGCUCUGAAGAUGCCGAACAGUUUUUACUGUGUUAUUUGACUGAAAUGUGUUACUCUUGGAGGGAUGUUUUCAGUUUCUUUGAGGAUAGAGAUCAGUGUUGUCCAUAUUCUUGUUCUUCUGAGUGAGGGAACCUGGAUUAUAUCAUACUGGGUAGACUUUUCGUGCCUGCCUCGAGGCAUAUUGGUCCAUAAAAAAUAACAAGGUAUGGUUAAUGCUAUAUCCCUUUCACUGCAAGCAAUUAACAACCAUUCAGCAACUAUUCAAGUCCAGUCCAUAGGGACAGGUCUAACAGAUUUUAAACAGAACAUUUUGAAAUCUUUUAACAAUGUGAUACAUCAGGAAGAGGUUUUUGUGGAUGAUUGAUUCAUCAUCAUAAAACCCAAAACAAUGCUUUUAAAACUUGUACAAAACUGUUAACAAACAUUUUUCAAAUGUACAUUUGCAAUUUUUUAUGACAAUACAUUGUAGUGUAAGCAUGGAAACCACUGACUCUUUAUAGAUAGACUUACAAUAGACACAAUGUGUGUAAAAGAAUGUGACGUUUAUCUUUGUGUCUUGUCAGAUUUACGCACUGAAGUCACUGAUGGUGCGGUGAGGUGAAAUGGGGUUUAA
RNAcentral lists this unclassified non-coding RNA (2742 nucleotides) under Haliotis rubra (blacklip abalone). Its description in RNAcentral is "uncharacterized LOC124269346, transcript variant X2". The record is from RNAcentral. Lineage: Eukaryota; Metazoa; Mollusca; Gastropoda; Lepetellida; Haliotidae.